AAAAAAAAAAGAAAAGAGAGAGAGAGAGAUGAAUGACCCGCAACCCGAGAUAAACAGAACCCAAAUGAUCUGAACCAGCCUGACCCCACCUGUUUGCCACCUCUACUCAAGCUCCAUGUUUAAGCAACUACUAUGAGGAAAGAAUCGAAAGGAUCUCAAAAUUAGGUCCAUGCUUUAAUUGUUGCCUUUCAAGGUAGUAACAUGAGAGAGAAGGAGAGAGAGGGAAAGCUCAGAGAUCCUUUUAGUUGGUGCUUUGCAAGCUAGUAACAUGCCACCUAUGCAUAGUUAUUAAAAGGCGUGCCUGAGGCUCAAGGCUCACCAGGCUUGAACCUUGGCGCUUAGGUGUGUGCCUUUGUUCCAGGC
Molecule: unclassified non-coding RNA, 363 nt
Filed under: Hevea brasiliensis (rubber tree)
Lineage: Eukaryota; Viridiplantae; Streptophyta; Magnoliopsida; Malpighiales; Euphorbiaceae
Source: RNAcentral